This 101-nucleotide ribosomal RNA is filed under the name Cladosporium echinulatum. RNAcentral's name for it is "partial 18S ribosomal RNA". It matches the Rfam family "Eukaryotic small subunit ribosomal RNA", at positions 1731 to 1831 of the family's 1831-position model. The record is from RNAcentral. Lineage: Eukaryota; Fungi; Ascomycota; Dothideomycetes; Cladosporiales; Cladosporiaceae.
AACGACCACCCAGGGCCGGAAAAGUUGGUCAAACCCGGUCAUUUAGAGCAAGUAAAAGUCGUACCAAGGUCUCCGUAGGUGAACCUGCGAAGGGAUCAUUA